RNAcentral lists this ribosomal RNA (206 nucleotides) under Coprococcus sp. AF18-48. RNAcentral's name for it is "partial 16S ribosomal RNA". It matches the Rfam family "Bacterial small subunit ribosomal RNA", at positions 1 to 187 of the family's 1533-position model. Lineage: Bacteria; Bacillati; Bacillota; Clostridia; Lachnospirales; Lachnospiraceae. The record is from RNAcentral.
UUUUAACGAGAGUUUGAUCCUGGCUCAGGAUGAACGCUGGCGGCGUGCUUAACACAUGCAAGUCGAACGAAGCGCUUGAAUGGAAUUUUUCGGAAGGAAGCUCAAGUGACUGAGUGGCGGACGGGUGAGUAACGCGUGGGUAACCUACCUCAUACAGGGGGAUAACAGUUAGAAAUGACUGCUAAUACCGCAUAAGCACACGUGAU